RNAcentral lists this ribosomal RNA (252 nucleotides) under uncultured bacterium. RNAcentral's name for it is "partial 16S ribosomal RNA". It matches the Rfam family "Bacterial small subunit ribosomal RNA", at positions 524 to 776 of the family's 1533-position model. The record is from RNAcentral.
UACAGAGGUCUCAAGCGUUGUUCGGAUUCAUUGGGCGUAAAGGGUGCGUAGGCGGCGCGGUAAGUCGGGUGUGAAAUCUCGGAGCUUAACUCCGAAACUGCAUUCGAUACUGCCGUGCUUGAGGACUGGAGAGGAGACUGGAAUUUACGGUGUAGCGGUGAAAUGCGUAGAUAUCGCAAGAACACCAGUGGCGAAGGCGGCUCACUGGCCCGGUACUGACGCUGAGGUGCGAAAGCGUGGGGAGCAAACAGG